Long non-coding RNA from Ornithodoros turicata, 539 nucleotides. RefSeq lists it as uncharacterized. The record is from RefSeq and is a predicted model, not a curated record. Lineage: Eukaryota; Metazoa; Arthropoda; Arachnida; Ixodida; Argasidae. The transcript has 3 exons.
CCCCCAAGGUCGCCAUUUUCCCAUGUAUUUGUUCCUAUCCCGAUGCGUGCAAUGCCGGAGGCCGCCCUUAGAUACCCCAUUGUUACCAGACGUUGGCUUGCGUUAGAUUGUAGCGCGCUAAAGAUCCAGUUGAAGCACAAUCCAAGCCAGGCCAAGUCACCGAAGGAGAAAUGGACGACUGCGCCUGCGGCGCCUGGUACGACAGGUACGCUAUGUGAUGCACGCAGCCGUGCACUAGAUCCUUCCGAUCGCUCAACACGUUUAAAAACGGGACCAAAAAGUGAAACACAACACAGAAAGUUGUUAUACGCGUUUUAUUUGGACAUAUAAAGACUAGAUUCAUUCGCAGAAACAACAAAAACAUUUUGCCGCUAAACUUAGCGCGCUGAAGUGAUCCGGAACGGCAACAGUGGGGUAUCUAGUGGCGGCCUUCUUCGUUGCACGCUUUUCCGAGAUGCUCGUGUAGGUCCUUGCAUCAACAUCACCAUCUCCAACCUUUUCAACAUGGGGAAGUGUCUGAAAAACGGUCUGGAGCUCUG